RNAcentral lists this unclassified non-coding RNA (351 nucleotides) under uncultured fungus. Its description in RNAcentral is "partial contains small subunit ribosomal RNA, internal transcribed spacer 1, and 5.8S ribosomal RNA". The stretch from base 1 to 73 matches the Rfam family "Eukaryotic small subunit ribosomal RNA", at positions 1759 to 1831 of the family's 1831-position model. Lineage: Eukaryota; Fungi. The record is from RNAcentral.
ACAAACUUGGUCAUUUAGAGGAAGUAAAAGUCGUAACAAGGUCUCCGUUGGUGAACCAGCGGAGGGAUCAUUACAGAGUUAUAUAAUAAACUCCCAACCCUUUGUGAACCGUACCAUCGUUGCCUCGGCGCAUAACCUGGAGUCCGUAUUCCGACGUAGCUACCCUGUAAUUACUUACCCUAUAAGUAGCUACCCUGGAGCUACCCGGUACCGGAUGCCAGCCGCGUCAGGGGCCCCCAACAAACUCUUGUUUUUCUUCGCGUCUCUCUGAAAAAGGAAAAUUAAAAAAACGAAAUCGUUAAAACUUUCAACAACGGAUCUCUUGGUUCUGGCAUCGAUGAAGAACGCAGC